AAAUAAAUAAAAAAUAAAAAUAAAUAAAUACAUAAGUAAACAAAUGCAGGCUGGGUGAGGUGGCUCAUGCCUGUAUUCCCAGCACUUUGGGAGGCUGAGGCGAGUGGAUCGCCUGAGCCCAGGAGUUCGAGACCAGCCUGGGCAACAUGGCUAAACCCUGUCUCUAAAAAAGAAAAAAAUUUAGUACAGUCUGUGAUGCUCGUGAGUCAUUAUGGUAAAGCUGUUAGUCAAUUUCUCCACUGAUGUAGCAGUUUCCAAUUGUCCUUUAAUCAAAGCAUAAAUGACAAGGUCACCAGUAAGUUUUUGUCUGAGAUUAUCUAAAACUGAGUUUCCCUUCAAUAUUUUCUUGAAAGAGAAUCUAAUUCCCCACCUUUUCUCCCCCCCCCACCUGGGGGCUGCAGGAAGGAUAUGGAGAGAGAUUUGAAGGCUGACUCAAACAUGCCACUCAACAAUUCUAGCCAAGAGGUCACAAAGGAUCUGCUUGAUAUGAUUGACCAGACAAGCAUCCGAACUAUUGAAGAAUUGGCUGGAAAAAUAGAAUUUGAAAAUGAAUUGAACCACGUGUGUGGUCACUGCCAAGAUUCACCCUUCAAAGAGGAAGCCUGGGCCCUGCUCAUGGACAAGAGCCCUCAGAAGGCCACAGAUGCUGACCCUGGCAGCCUCAAACAGGCUUUUGAUGAUCAUAAUAUUGUUGAGACUGUUCUGGACUUGGAAGAGGACUACAAUGUGAUGACCUCUUUUAAAUACCAAAUUGAGUAAGGACAGUUAAUCUAAGCUUUGAUUCCUUACAGCAGGAGGCUGCCCUUGAGCCUGAGCAGAAGCAGCUACAAUGGCCGUCAGGGGCCACAUUUCUCAAAAGGUUGGCAGAACCUGAAUUACCAGACCCUUUUUAAAUCCCAGUUGUGUCCCUUUUUAAGCUGUGAGACCAGUUUUUUGAAUUCCAUUGCUUUGAAAUGUUUCCUAUUACUAAUUUUUUUUUUUUUUUUUUUUUUUUUUACUUUCCUUGACAUCUUGAAUGUGUUUUUUUGAUUGAUGUUCAAUAUACCCAGUACCCAUGGUAGGUAUGGGUCAUGGGCCUCUGCUGUGUCUCUUAGUGUUCUUUUCCAUGGGCCCCUAAAAAAGUACAGGAGUGGCCAGGCACAGUGGCUCACGUCUGUAAUCCCAGCACUUUGGGAGGCCAAGGCAAGUGGAUCACUUGAGGUCAGGAGUUUGAGACCAGCCUGGCCAACAUGGCGAAACCCCAUCUCCACUAAAAAUACAAAAAUUCGCCAGGGGUGGUGGUGUGCACCUGUAGUCCCAGCUGCUUGGGAGGCUGAGGUAGGAGAAUUGCUUGAACCUGGAGGUGGAGGUUGCAAUGAGCCGAGAUGGCACCGCUCCCUUCCAUCCUGAGUGACAGAGCAAGACUCUGUCUCAAAAAAAUAGUAAUUUAGCUGGGCAUGGUGGUUCGUGCAUGUAGUUCCAGCUACUUGGGUGGGGACUGAGGCGAAAAGAUCACUUGAGGCCAGGAGGCGGAGGUUGCAGUGAGCUGAGAUCACGCCACUGCACUCCAGCAUGGGUGACAGAGUGAGACCCUGUCUCAAAAAAAAAGAAGAAAAAAAAAGGGAAGAAAGGAAACUGAAUCUCAGGGAAGUGCCCACCUCCUGAGCGAAUAAGAGGAAGGAAUAUGGGGGUGAGGCAGAGCUGGCAAAAGGCUGUUUUUUGUUUUGAUUGUUUUUAAAGACCAAGUGAAGUAUAGUGUAAGAAGUGGGGAAAGAGUGGAACAAGGAGUUAGAUCUGCAACUGUGAGUAGUCAAUUGAGAUAACUCAAUACCUUUGGACCUGAUUGUUUUUAAAGACUGAGAGUACUAUAAGAAGGGGGGAAAGAGUAGAACAAGGAGUUAGAUCUGAAACUGUGAGUAGUUGAUUGAGAUAACUCACUACCUUUGGACCAGCCAGGGCUGUUUAUAAGUGCUAAAGCCCGAACAAACCAAAGAGUCGGGGAGAGAGGCCUAACUAACAGCUGAGUGAUUGCCCAACAGACUGUCUUUUAGGCCAGUGACUCUGGUAUAGGGCAGGCUGCAUAGCCAGCAACAUCCCUUAGUGAUUCCUCUGGGCUCAAAGGUGGAGGCUACACACCCACACCUUAGCAGAGGUUGGCCUGGCACCUGCUGGUGCCCCAAGAACUAUGGCAUGGUUAGACCCUGGCCACUUGAUUGCAUGUGCCUCCCCAGUGGGCGUGCCCUGGUUCCCAACCAGUUGUGGCCACUGCCACUGCCUUGCCUGGGGCAGGAGUUGAGGUUAAGGCUAACUACAGACUCCUUCCAGGCUGCCUGCCACUCAGACCCUGCAGGAGGUAGCACAAAGCAUUCACAGCCUGUGGAGUCAAGAGGCCGAUUUCUUCUCCCUGAGCAAGAAGAAUGAAAGCAAAUGAAAAGUGCUCACAGUAUGCUCAACUGCCCCUGCUCAGGUGAAGAAUAGCCUGUCUGGAUGGAGAGAUGUCAGGCUACUUGAUACUAAGAAAAACAGGUCUCAAAACAGUGCCUUCCAAAUAAUACAUGUGGAUGUGGACACUCUUCUAUAGACGAGGUGGAGCUUAAUUCCUGUCCUUACCCCCAUAUUCCCACCUCAUUACCACCCUUUGAAGGUGAACGAGACUUAAUGAUUCUUCCUACGACUAAAGUAGGAAAAGGGAAAAGUCACAAACUUAUAGUGGGGAAGCCUGGCAGACACCUAACCAAGUGAUGUCAUUUAUAUGUCAUGAGAGGGGUGCAUCACUUCCCUGGUAUUCCUACCAAAAACCCAAAUUCCCAGUGUAUGAUCAUGAGACAAAUGUUAGACAAAUCCAGACGUGGGGUACAUUCUACAGGAUACCUGGCCAGAACUGAAGACUGUUGAGAUGGCCGGGUGCAGUGGCUCAUGCCUGUAAUCCCCAACACUUUGGGAGGCUGAGGCGGGCAGAUCACUUGAGGUCAGGAGUUCAAGACCAGCAUGGCCAACAUGGUGAAACCCCAUCUCUACUAAAAAUACAAAAAUUAGCCAGGCAUCAUGGCAUGUGCCUUUAGUCAUAGCUACACAGGAGGCUGAGGCAGGAGAAUUGCUUGAACCCAGGAGGUGGAGGUUGCAGUGAGCCAAGAUCGCAUCACUGCACUCCAGCCUGGGCAACAAGCGAGACUCCACCUCAAAAAAAAAAGACUGUUGAGGUCAUGAAAAAUAAGGAAAGACUCAAAAACUAUCAACAGACCACUAAAGACCAAGAAGACACAAUGGCUAAAUGCAACAUGGAAUCCUGGAGUGCAUCCUGGAACAGAAAGAGAACAUUAUUGGAAAAACUGAUAAAACUUGAAUAAAAACUAGUGUUU
This 3338-nucleotide small RNA is filed under the name Pongo abelii (Sumatran orangutan). RNAcentral's name for it is "retained intron". The record is from RNAcentral. Lineage: Eukaryota; Metazoa; Chordata; Mammalia; Primates; Hominidae.